Molecule: long non-coding RNA, 440 nt
Organism: Passer montanus (Eurasian tree sparrow)
Lineage: Eukaryota; Metazoa; Chordata; Aves; Passeriformes; Passeridae
Exons: 3
Source: RefSeq, a predicted model, not a curated record
UCAGAAAAGCUCUUAAUAUACUGCUUCAUGUUAGAAGCUGUCAGCACCAUUGGCAAGCACUAAAGAUGAACAUGAAGGAGUUGUACUUUUCUGGAUGUGAUUAAUUCUGGCACAGUACUUGUUCCCAUGGCUGAGCCCUGUGUGCACUGCUGUUCAUGUCAGGAUUUCCAGUUUAAGGAAAGACCAUUCCCCUGUGAGGGUCAAAUGCUGACCACGUCCAGGAUGUCUUGCAGCCUCUGACUGUGGCUGAGCAUGAUUUCAAUAUCAUCAGCAAAUCAUGUGAGCUCCUCCCAGAGCAGAAGUGAUUUGCUUUCCAGCCAUGGAAAUACAAGUGACCAAGGAUGGCGAGGGAAGUCGUGCGUUCUGUUCCAUUUCCCGGGAGUCUGUCACUGUCCUGCACUGGCAGGUAAGGAUUUACCUCAUGGCAAUCAGGCUGGGAA